Molecule: non-coding RNA, 32 nt
Filed under: Homo sapiens (human)
Lineage: Eukaryota; Metazoa; Chordata; Mammalia; Primates; Hominidae
Source: RNAcentral
UCCCAGAAGAAGCCAGAGGUAGCGGCCCCAGC